Molecule: small nucleolar RNA, 139 nt
Filed under: Pan troglodytes (chimpanzee)
Lineage: Eukaryota; Metazoa; Chordata; Mammalia; Primates; Hominidae
Description: Small Cajal body specific RNA 21
Rfam family: Small Cajal body specific RNA 21
About the family: scaRNAs are a specific class of small nuclear RNAs which localise to the Cajal bodies and guide the modification of RNA polymerase II transcribed spliceosomal RNAs U1, U2, U4, U5 and U12.
Source: Rfam by way of RNAcentral
UGGCUCGAUUUCCUGGGGGGUGGUCUCAGCCCACUCCACCUCCCGUCAGUCGAGCGUAGAGUAGAGGGGCCAGGCAUCCUUUCCAGGGGAGGGGCGUUGAAGCAAGGAGCCUCUCGUGGGCUGUCCUAGCUUCACAUUU